ACCUCAGAAAACCACAAAAAAAUCUCUCAGAAUCUCAAAAAAAACCAAAAAGUCACAAAGAACGUCAGAAAACCACAAAAAAUUUGGAAGAACCCCAAGAAAACCCAAAAAAUCUUAAAGAACCUCAAAGAAAUCCCACAAAUCCCAAAGAACCCCAGAAAACCCAAAAAAAAAAAGCCACAAAGAACCUCAGAAAAACUACAACAAAAUCCUAAAGAAUCUCAAAAAAACCCAAAAAAAUCCCAAAGAAUCUAAAAAAAAUCACAAAGAACCUCGGAAAACCACAAUAAAAUCACAAAGAACCCCCAGAAAAACCCAAAAAAUCCCAAAGAACCUCAAAAAAGAGACCCCUAAAAAGAUCCCAAAACCCAAAAAAACCCCAUUAAGAAUUGUGGGGUGCUGUUGAUGAUUUUGGGGUGCUGUGACUCAGUUUUGGGGUGGAGUUAUGGAUUUUGGGGUGCUGUUGGUAACUGUGGGGUGCUGUGACUCAGUUUUGGGGUGCUGUUGAUAAUUUUUGGGGUGCUGUGGAUGAUUUUGGGGUGCCCUGACCCGUUUUUGGGGUGCUGUUCCCGCAGCUCUCGGUGGUGGGGUACGACCCCAUUUUGGGGUGCUGGGACUCAGUUUUGGGGUGCCAUUACAGAUUUUGGGGUGCAAUUAGAGAUUUUGGGGUGCCAUUACAGAUUUUGGGGUGCUGUAGAUAGUUUUAAGGUGCUGUAGAUGAUUUUGGGGUGCCAUUAGAGAUUUUGGGGUUCCCUGACCCAUUUUUGGGGUGCUGUUCCCGCAGCUCUCGAUGGUGGAGUACGACCCCAUUUUGGGGUGCUGGGACUCAAUUUUGGGGUGCAAUUACAGAUUUUGGGGUGCUGUUGAUAGCUUUAAGGUGCCAUUACAGAUUUUGGGGUGCUGUGGAUGAUUUUUGGGGUGCCUUAACCCAUUUUUGGGGUGCUGUUCCCGCAGCUCUCGGUGGUGGAGUACGACCCCAUUUUGGGGUGCUGGGACUCAAUUUUGGGGUGCAAUUACAGAUUUUGGGGUGCUGUAGAUAGCUUUAAGGUGCAAUUACA
RNAcentral lists this long non-coding RNA (1058 nucleotides) under Taeniopygia guttata (zebra finch). RNAcentral describes it as "lncRNA (ENSTGUG00000028504.1)". The record is from RNAcentral. Lineage: Eukaryota; Metazoa; Chordata; Aves; Passeriformes; Estrildidae.